GGGUGAUGGUAGAGCUAUACUGUGUUUUCGCUUUUGGUUUCACUUUUGGGCUGCCACGCCGGCUGACUAGGUUGCUCUAGUCAUUUUCCAUCAAAUCAAGAGGCAGAAGAGACCGGUUCAAGGCAGCUGGUGCCACACCUUUGAUUAAUUACACCUGUGUUUGACCUAGGGAAUACAGAUAAAUCCUGCUGCAGUCAUGUCUAUUCCCUUCAAUAACGUGCUGGAAAAAUCCACUGUCGGGCUGGGAGAUGACUCAGGAGGUAAAAUGCUUGAUGUACAAUUCUGAAGACCCAUGUCUCAUCCCUAGAACCCAGAUGGAGACAUUUGAAGAAGGAAGAAAUCUGGGUACCAUGACCAAGACUGAAAUGACAGUUGAUGGUGGAACCGCAUUCUGAAUUACGGUACCUUGAUCCCAAGACUCUAGAUGCCUCUGUUUUGUCCUCCAUGACUGUUGAUGUAUCAACAGUCUGUUUUUUUUGAGAUGGGGUCUCACCUGUAGCCCUGGCCCUCCUGGAACUCACUAUGUAAACUAGGCUGGACUUGAACUUGCAAAGAUCUGCCUGCUUCUACCUCCUGAGUGCUGAGAGUAAAGACAUAUGCCACUCUGCCUUGCCUUCAGAUUUUAGUUCUAGAAAAUAUCUGAUGAUUUUGUUGUUCUGACAUUUGCUCUUGAAUUACCUGUCUGCUUGUCUUCCUGACUGUCCUUCAUCACCUCUAACCUGUUGUCACUCAUUCCUUAUCAGCUCAGGUCUCUGUGAUCAUUUGCCACUAGAGGCUGUUCUGGAGAAGGAAAACAGUUUAUUAUUAAUCACUUUCCACAUAACAAAUAAAUCAUUUUCCCCCAAAUAUGUUUGAUUAUAGUACACCACUGUGCAUAAAAUUCUUCAGUGGCUCUCAUUCCUUAAGAGUCCCCCCAACCCCCAACCAAGUCUUGACUAUAACCACAGUGGCCUACAUAGUUUGCUUCAUAUCCACCUCUCAUGGUUCCUGUGGGCCAGGGACCUAGGGAAUUCAAGUAGAAUGGCCCCACCAGUGGGAGUUUAUGUCUUACUCAUGCAAUAACCCAAGUAGAUACACUCUGUUGGCCAGUGGCUCUGGGUCUUGCUGGGCUGUCCGGGUCCUCCCAACCAUCACUCCCCUUCCCUCGGGGCAGAGAGUCAAAGGAAGAAUGGUUUUUCCUUUAUAAUCAAGGGCACCUUGCUUCCUUCCAUCCAUUGGCUAUAAUGCAAUCACAUGACAAUCCCUAACUACAAAGGAAGUUGGGAAAUGCCAUUCAGCUGUGUGCUACUGGGAUAGAAAGAAGGAGCCUGUGGGCUGCCUCAAGUUUUUCUGCACAUAUCUGCCUUCACUCUUGUCUUCCCCUUACAUGCUAGAGCUGUGCAGUGUCCCCAAGUCCUCAAAGCACCCGUGGUCAUUUCCACAAGGAUGUGGUAUUCAUUUCCUGUGGGUUUCCAUAUAGAGUUCAUUCUCCUAAUCUAGUUAUUUUUUACUGUCUUUGACUCCCAGCUCGUGCAUCCCUUCCCUAGUGUAGACGUGAUCAUUCCACCAGAAACACCCCAUCCACCCAGUUCCUCCUUGUCAUAUGUUCUUACUGAACCUGCUAAGGAACUCCACACAAAUCUAUGACUAGAAACUCCACAUGAGGCUGGAGAGCUCAAGGGACAGCAUUUGCUUCCAGCACUCAUGCUGUUUCCAAGUUUAGCUUCCAGCACUCAUACUGAGCCGCUGACAAUUCCUGAACUCUGGCUUCUGUGGAUCUGGGACUCUCUUCCAGCCUCCAUAAGCACUGCACACAUGCACAAAUAAAAUAUCAAAAAUGCC
Molecule: long non-coding RNA, 1821 nt
Filed under: Cricetulus griseus (Chinese hamster)
Lineage: Eukaryota; Metazoa; Chordata; Mammalia; Rodentia; Cricetidae
Description: lncRNA (ENSCGRG00015036044.1)
Source: RNAcentral